Molecule: ribosomal RNA, 426 nt
Filed under: uncultured bacterium
Lineage: Bacteria
Description: bacterial SSU rRNA
Rfam family: Bacterial small subunit ribosomal RNA
Source: RNAcentral
CGCGAAAAACCUUACCUACACUUGACAUGCCAGAAAUCCUGCAGAGAUGUGGGAGUGCCGCAAGGAAUCUGGGCACAGGUGCUGCAUGGCUGUCGUCAGCUCGUGUCGUGAGAUGUUGGGUUAAGUCCCGCAACGAGCGCAACCCUUGUCACUAGUUGCUACAUUUAGUUGGGCACUCUAGUGAGACUGCCGGUGACAAACCGGAGGAAGGUGGGGAUGACGUCAAGUCCUCAUGGCCCUUAUGUGUAGGGCUACACACGUCAUACAAUGGUCGGUACAGAGGGUUGCCAACCCGCGAGGGGGAGCUAAUCUCACAAAGCCGAUCGUAGUCCGGAUCGCAGUCUGCAACUCGACUGCGUGAAGUCGGAAUCGCUAGUAAUCGUGGAUCAGCAUGUCACGGUGAAUACGUUCCCGGGUCUUGUACAC